RNAcentral lists this unclassified non-coding RNA (192 nucleotides) under rhizosphere metagenome. RNAcentral describes it as "partial ribosomal RNA internal transcribed spacer region". The record is from RNAcentral.
GUUGGUGAACCAGCGGAGGGAUCAUUACCGAGUUUACAACUCCCAAACCCCUGUGAACAUACCUAUCGUUGCCUCGGCGGUGCCCGCUCCGGCGGCCCGCCAGAGGACCCCCAAACUCUUGUUUUAUACAGUAUCUUCUGAGUAACACGAUUAAAUAAAUCAAAACUUUCAACAACGGAUCUCUUGGUUCUG